GAGAUUGUGGCUCAGCGGUAGAGUGCUCACCUUGCAUGUGUGAGGCCCUGGGUUCGAUCUUCAGCACCACA
Molecule: transfer RNA, 71 nt
Filed under: Marmota monax (woodchuck)
Lineage: Eukaryota; Metazoa; Chordata; Mammalia; Rodentia; Sciuridae
Description: tRNA.Ala
Rfam family: tRNA (bases 6-66)
About the family: Transfer RNA (tRNA) molecules are approximately 80 nucleotides in length.
Source: RNAcentral